RNAcentral lists this ribosomal RNA (660 nucleotides) under uncultured fungus. Its description in RNAcentral is "SSU rRNA". It matches the Rfam family "Eukaryotic small subunit ribosomal RNA", at positions 420 to 1084 of the family's 1831-position model. Lineage: Eukaryota; Fungi. The record is from RNAcentral.
GGAAGGCAGCAGGCGCGCAAAUUACCCAAUCCCGACACGGGGAGGUAGUGACAAUAAAUACUGAUACAGGGCUCUUUUGGGUCUUGUAAUUGGAAUGAGUACAAUUUAAAUCCCUUAACGAGGAACAAUUGGAGGGCAAGUCUGGUGCCAGCAGCCGCGGUAAUUCCAGCUCCAAUAGCGUAUAUUAAAGUUGUUGCAGUUAAAAAGCUCGUAGUUGAACCUUGGGCCUGGCUGGCCGGUCCGCCUCACCGCGUGCACUGGUCCGGCCGGGUCUUUCCUUCUGAGGAGCCGCAUGCCCUUCACUGGGUGUGUCGGGGAAUCAGGACUUUUACUUUGAAAAAAUUAGAGUGUUCAAAGCAGGCCUAUGCUCGAAUACAUUAGCAUGGAAUAAUAGAAUAGGACGUGUGGUUCUAUUUUGUUGGUUUCUAGGACCGCCGUAAUGAUUAAUAGGGUUAGUCGGGGGCAUCAGUAUUCAAUUGUCAGAGGUGAAAUUCUUGGAUUUAUUGAAGACUAACUACUGCGAAAGCAUUUGCCAAGGAUGUUUUCAUUAAUCAGUGAACGAAAGUUAGGGGAUCGAAGACGAUCAGAUACCGUCGUAGUCUUAACCAUAAACUAUGCCGACUAGGGAUCGGGCGAUGUUAUCUUUUUGACUCGCUCGGC